Molecule: ribosomal RNA, 466 nt
Filed under: uncultured bacterium
Lineage: Bacteria
Description: partial 16S ribosomal RNA
Rfam family: Bacterial small subunit ribosomal RNA
Source: RNAcentral
GACGAACGCUGGCGGCGUGCUUAACACAUGCAAGUCGAACGGAAAGGCCUUGCUUUUGUGGGGUGCUCGAGUGGCGAACGGGUGAGUAACACGUGAGUAACCUGCCCUUGACUUUGGGAUAACUUCAGGAAACUGGGCUAAUACCGGAUAGGAGCUCCUGCUGCAUGGUGGGGGUUGGAAAGUUUCGGCGAUUGGGGAUGGACUCGCGGCUUAUCAGCUUGUUGGUGGGGUAGUGGCUUACCAAGGCUUUGACGGGUAGCCGGCCUGAGAGGGUGACCGGCCACAUUGGGACUGAGAUACGGCCCAGACUCCUACGGGAGGCAGCAGUGGGAAUAUUGCACAAUGGGCGGAAGCCUGAUGCAGCAACGCCGCGUGCGGGAUGACGGCCUUCGGGUUGUAAACCGCUUUCGCCUGUGACGAAGCGUGAGUGACGGUAAUGGGUAAAGAAGCACCGGCUAACUACGUG